GCUGGCGGCAGGCCUAACACAUGCAAGUCGAGCGGUAGAGAGAAGCUUGCUUCUCUUGAGAGCGGCGGACGGGUGAGUAAUACCUAGGAAUCUGCCUGAUAGUGGGGGAUAACGUUCGGAAACGGACGCUAAUACCGCAUACGUCCUACGGGAGGAAGCAGGGGACCUUCGGGCCUUGCGCUAUCAGAUGAGCCUAGGUCGGAUUAGCUAGUUGGUGAGGUAAUGGCUCACCAGGGCUACGAUCCGUAACUGGUCUGAGAGGAUGAUCAGUCGCACUGGAACUGAGACACGGUCCAGACUCCUACGGGAGGCAGCAGUGGGGAAUAUUGGACAAUGGGCGAAAGCCUGAUCCAGCCAUGCCGCGUGUGCGAAGAAGGUCUUCGGAUUGUAAAGCACUUUAAGUUGGGAGGAAGGGCAGUUACCUAAUACGUGACUGUCUUGACGUUACCGACAGAAUAAGCACCGGCUAACUCUGUGCCAGCAGCCGCGGUAAUACAGAGGGUGCAAGCGUUAAUCGGAAUUACUGGGCGUAAAGCGCGCGUAGGUGGUUUGUUAAGUUGAAUGUGAAAUCCCCGGGCUCAACCUGGGAACUGCAUCCAAAACUGGCAAGCUAGAGUAUGGUAGAGGGUAGUGGAAUUUCCUGUGUAGCGGUGAAAUGCGUAGAUAUAGGAAGGAACACCAGUGGCGAAGGCGACUACCUGGACUGAUACUGACACUGAGGUGCGAA
RNAcentral lists this ribosomal RNA (727 nucleotides) under uncultured bacterium. RNAcentral describes it as "bacterial SSU rRNA". It matches the Rfam family "Bacterial small subunit ribosomal RNA", at positions 35 to 757 of the family's 1533-position model. The record is from RNAcentral.